UCGGGAAUUUUGGGCAAUGGGGGAAACCCUGACCCAGCAACGCCGCGUGAAGGAUGAAGUAUUUCGGUAUGUAAACUUCGAAAGAAUAGGGAGAAUAAAUGACGGUACUAUUUAUAAGGUCCGGCUAACUACGUGCCAGCAGCCGCGGUAAUACGUAGGGACCAAGCGUUGUUCGGAUUUACUGGGCGUAAAGGGCGCGUAGGCGGCAUGACAAGUCACUUGUGAAAUCUCUGGGCUUAACCCAGAACGGCCAAGUGAUACUGUCGCGCUAGAGUGCAGAAGGGGCAAUCGGAAUUCUUGGUGUAGCGGUGAAAUGCGUAGAUAUCAAGAGGAACACCUGAGGUGAAGACGGGUUGCUGGGCUGACACUGACGCUGAGGCGCGAAAGCCAGGGGAGCAAACGGGAUUAGAUACCCCCGUAGUCCCUGAGCGGGCUGGCAAGGCGCAU
RNAcentral lists this ribosomal RNA (447 nucleotides) under uncultured bacterium. Its description in RNAcentral is "bacterial SSU rRNA". It matches the Rfam family "Bacterial small subunit ribosomal RNA", at positions 355 to 825 of the family's 1533-position model. The record is from RNAcentral.